This is a non-coding RNA of Drosophila melanogaster (fruit fly), 488 nucleotides long. Lineage: Eukaryota; Metazoa; Arthropoda; Insecta; Diptera; Drosophilidae. The record is from Ensembl.
AUUUCGCGCAGUGUACCUUGGGGUUGGACUGCCUUGGGGUGUCAGGUUGUCAAUCGCCUCGCCUGUUGUUUGUUGCCCCUGAUUGUUGACAUGCAUUCCCGCAAAUGAGCCGUGCAAUUGUCGUGCUGCCUCCUAUUGACAGCUCCCAGUUCGAUAGUCAAAUAGUUCGAUGCAUAUGUACAUCUCGCGACGGGACCUCAUCCUUGGACCCGCGGGAUUCGUCUCGAGUUUCAGAGUCGCAGCGUGGAGCACUCCUGCAUUUUCACAUCUCGGGGCUUCCCUGACUGACAACUGUCGGUUUCCAUCUCGGGGUGCUGACACUGAAAAGUGUGACGAUUUAUUUGUCAUAUGGCGCGGGGUGCCGAAAUCAAUUGGUUUUGUGCCCGGCAGAUGCCUUAGAUCUGCGACACGGGCAUUGACAACCUCAACUGGACUUCAUUUGUCCUGGAUGCGACUGUCAUUUGCUUUAUAUUCAACUCUUCCGUUGG